AGCGAGGUUUAGCAAAGACGACGCGACGUCAACGAGGACGUGAAAAUGGCGUGAUAUGCCCAUCUAUGGAUGUGCCCACGCCAUUUUUACGCCAUUUUCACGUCCUCGUUGACGUCGCGUCGUCUUUGCUAAACCUAGCU
This 140-nucleotide microRNA precursor is filed under the name Paramuricea clavata. The record is from RNAcentral. Lineage: Eukaryota; Metazoa; Cnidaria; Anthozoa; Malacalcyonacea; Plexauridae.